RNAcentral lists this transfer RNA (74 nucleotides) under Actinomycetota bacterium. Its description in RNAcentral is "tRNA-Ile". It matches the Rfam family "tRNA". Rfam says of the family: Transfer RNA (tRNA) molecules are approximately 80 nucleotides in length. Their secondary structure includes four short double-helical elements and three loops (D, anti-codon, and T loops). Further hydrogen bonds mediate the characteristic L-shaped molecular structure. tRNAs have two regions of fundamental functional importance: the anti-codon, which is responsible for specific mRNA codon recognition, and the 3' end, to which the tRNAs corresponding amino acid is attached (by aminoacyl-tRNA synthetases). tRNAs cope with the degeneracy of the genetic code in two manners: having more than one tRNA (with a specific anti-codon) for a particular amino acid; and 'wobble' base-pairing, i.e. permitting non-standard base-pairing at the 3rd anti-codon position. RNAcentral also lists the same sequence under 1 other name. Lineage: Bacteria; Bacillati; Actinomycetota. The record is from RNAcentral.
GGGGGCGUAGCUCAGUUGGUUAGAGCAGGCGACUCAUAAUCGCCCGGCCGUUGGUUCGAGUCCAACCGCCCCCA